RNAcentral lists this ribosomal RNA (492 nucleotides) under uncultured bacterium. RNAcentral describes it as "partial 16S ribosomal RNA". It matches the Rfam family "Bacterial small subunit ribosomal RNA", at positions 29 to 507 of the family's 1533-position model. The record is from RNAcentral.
AGUGAACGCUGGCGGUAGGCCUAACACAUGCAAGUCGAACGGCAGCACAGUAAGAGCUUGCUCUUACGGGUGGCGAGUGGCGGACGGGUGAGGAAUACAUCGGAAUCUACUUUUUCGUGGGGGAUAACGUAGGGAAACUUAUGCUAAUACCGCAUACGACCUACGGGUGAAAGCAGGGGAUCUUCGGACCUUGCGCGAUUGAAUGAGCCGAUGUCGGAUUAGCUAGUUGGCGGGGUAAAGGCCCACCAAGGCGACGAUCCGUACCUGGUCUGAGAGGAUGUUCAGCCACACUGGAACUGGGACACGGUCCAGACUCCUACGGGAGGCAGCAGUGGGGAAUAUUGGACAAUGGGCGCAAGCCUGAUCCAGCCAUACCGCGUGGGUGAAGAAGGCCUUCGGGUUGUAAAGCCCUUUUGUUGGGAAAGAAAAGCAGCAGGUUAAUACCCCGCUGUUCUGACGGUACCCAAAGAAUAAGCACCGGCUAACUUCGUG